Molecule: ribosomal RNA, 418 nt
Filed under: Nectophrynoides laticeps
Lineage: Eukaryota; Metazoa; Chordata; Amphibia; Anura; Bufonidae
Description: partial 16S ribosomal RNA
Rfam family: Bacterial large subunit ribosomal RNA
Source: RNAcentral
GCCUGCCCAAUGACUCUGUUUAACGGCCGCGGUAUCCUAACCGUGCGAAGGUAGCGUAAUCACUUGUUCUCUAAAUGGGGACUAGUAUGAACGGCAUCACGAAGGUUAUACUGUCUCCUCUUUCUAAUCAGUGAAACUAACCUCCCCGUGAAGAGACGGGGAUAGAACUAUCAGACGAGAAGACCCUAUGGAGCUUUAAACAAUAUAGCACAUGCCAUGUAGAAUAAAAAUUUCCGAAUCUCUCACCCCAAAGCAACAUGACUAUAAGUUUUUGGUUGGGGUGACCGCGGAGCAAAACUUAACCUCCAUGUUGAAAAUUUUUAAACUAAGAAUCACUCUUCUAAGCAUCAAUAUAUUGACACCAAUUGACCCAAUACAUUUGAACAACGAACCAAGUUACCCUAGGGAUAACAGCGCA